Molecule: non-coding RNA, 49 nt
Filed under: Pelagibacterium sp.
Lineage: Bacteria; Pseudomonadati; Pseudomonadota; Alphaproteobacteria; Hyphomicrobiales; Devosiaceae
Description: Guanidine-II sequence
Rfam family: Guanidine-II riboswitch aptamer (mini-ykkC)
About the family: Simpler in structure and has fewer highly conserved nucleotide positions than the ykkC-yxkD leader.
Source: RNAcentral
CCGCGAGGACGGCCUCCCCCAUUUCGGGUUUGCGUUCGGGACGGCCCGG